This 230-nucleotide ribosomal RNA is filed under the name uncultured bacterium. Its description in RNAcentral is "partial 16S ribosomal RNA". It matches the Rfam family "Bacterial small subunit ribosomal RNA", at positions 562 to 791 of the family's 1533-position model. The record is from RNAcentral.
AAAGGGCGCGUAGGCGGCCGAUUAAGUCGGGGGUGAAAGCCUGUGGCUCAACCACAGAAUUGCCUUCGAUACUGGUUGGCUUGAGACCGGAAGAGGACAGCGGAACUGCGAGUGUAGAGGUGAAAUUCGUAGAUAUUCGCAAGAACACCAGUGGCGAAGGCGGCUGUCUGGUCCGGUUCUGACGCUGAGGCGCGAAAGCGUGGGGAGCAAACAGGAUUAGAUACCCGUGU